GCUAAUUAGACAGAUGACAGACAGGUGUGAACAGAUAGUCAGGCUGGUGAGGAGCGCACAGGGCGCAGGAGGGAAACUGAGCAGAAGACGCCACACGAAACACAAAUAAAGUGAAACCUAAAUGACAGGAGAGGGGAAUGAAAAACAUGAGGAGAGCCAACAUGUACGAUGAUCCUGGUGAUCAUCAGUGCGGACAUCAGUAAAGAUAAAACCAUCUUCAUCUUCCAUCAGCACCAGUGGCAGUGUAACAGUGCGCACACACACCACACACACACACACACACACACAGAUGCCAUCCUGUUCUCAUCUUAUGGAACAGCGAUAUGAAACAAACUGCUAACAAGCAUUGGAAGGCAGAAAAUGGCCCCAGCAGAACAGAAGACGUCACACAUCAACACGAGGGUCAAUUACUGCACAUGCAGAAGAACACUCUAUUUUCUUCACCCAUUGAUGAUAUUGAUUCCUUGUGGUCAGAGGCACUUCCCUGCCGGCUGAUGUGUACAGGAGCUGAUUAGAGGGGUGAUUUAUGACUGACCGUGAAUAAUGGCUCUCUGAACUCGGCCAGAUUGACCCGAGAGGAGCGACGCCGGGGAUGCAUGGCGAAAAAGACAAAUGGGUUAAGCGAGGUAAAGCGGGACAGAGGGAACGAGAUGAAGGGGCACAUAAGAGCAUUAGGCUGCUCCUGUGCACAAGCCCGGCUUUACUGUGAAGCUCAUUGUCUCGGGCCAAAGCAGACCUGAGACCUGCCAACUGCAUUCAUCCCUCUCUGCUUUGUCAGGGCUGACUCUCUGAAGGCUCAUCUUCCACAUGGCAGGAAAGGGACAGUUCACCCAAAAAUCUGAUAUACAUGUUUUUCUUCUUCCUUGUAUUUGUCUAUCAAGAUUGUUUUGGUGUUUAGUUUUUCAGAUGUUCAAAAAAUGUAUUAAACUUCUUGAAUACAACGAUUGCAAUCAGUUUGAGGUGUUCAAACACAUAUUUCAGAAAUCUUGACCCAGUUAUUGGAGAUAAUCCACAGAUCUGUUAUAGGUAGGAACUAUGUAGGAACUAUUUUCUCCCCCUUCCUAUAAGUAACUUUACACCUACUACUACGACUUUUACUACAUUAAUCUUGUCCUCUUCUUAACUAAGCUUAGUCAGUUCAGCGAGCUAGCCACUUGUCCCUGACUUCCCUCUGCGCUGUGAUGUGGUAGAACUAGUUCCAUCGUUAAACUACUCGCAGCCAUGUCUUGGAAUUAUCAUGAGUAAGCGGGUCCAGAUUUCUAGAAAGAGACAUUGUUGUCGAGUUUUGAAGCUUGUCUUUUUCACACUUUUAUAGCAUGAAUGAGAGUUUAGCGGUACUACAGUCCACCAGGUCAACUGUGACAUGUUGUGUUCAACUUAACUUUUCUUCUUCUAAAGUUUAACGUCAAAAAAGUAAAUAAAACAAGACUUCAGCUGAAACUGGAGAUAAGACGGUAGAAGUACUCCACGUAUGUGAAUCUUAAGUCAAUGAGUUUUCUACAACAUGUUCCUGAUAAUGUUUCACAAUAAAAGCAUUGUUAAGAAAUGAA
Molecule: long non-coding RNA, 1550 nt
Organism: Acanthopagrus latus (yellowfin seabream)
Lineage: Eukaryota; Metazoa; Chordata; Actinopteri; Spariformes; Sparidae
Exons: 2
Source: RefSeq, a predicted model, not a curated record